Capsella rubella is the source of this 564-nucleotide long non-coding RNA. RefSeq lists it as uncharacterized. NCBI's taxonomy places the organism in Eukaryota, Viridiplantae, Streptophyta, Magnoliopsida, Brassicales, Brassicaceae. The record is from RefSeq and is a predicted model, not a curated record. The transcript has 3 exons.
UCACAUUGGACUCGUCACGAACUAUGAGUUUACCUCCUGGUCUUACUAUUCUAUCCACUUCGGCCAUUACUGGAACAAGGUUGCACCUUUCAAGACGAGAAAACAAAACAGACAAUGUUUCUAAGAUUGCUGAUGACAGUUACUAAAUGGGUGGAUAUGAUGAAUUAAGCUUUUACCUUUUUCUUAACUUGGAGAAAAGAUGAUCUGCAUGCAAGAGAUCGUAGCUUCUAGGUGAAAUCUCGAGGAGCUGGUUUCCCGUAGAUCCCCAUUUGAGAGCUGUUUAGCCAGUAAGGAGGUGUUUGAAGCCUACGGGGCCAGUUCACUGGCCACUUGCUUCCUCUCUCGACCGCAUUGGUUGGCACUUUGUGCAUACAUGCUUGCAGGGGCACAUACCUGAAAUUUGCAUUGAAGUUUCUGGUAGAUUGCAGCACCAACACCAUUGAGCUUAUCCUUGUUGAUUGUCACAAGUUCCCAGCACAAUGAUUUUGUCAACGCGGACAUUUCUACAUAACUCUGAAAUGUUAGCUCCAAUGAGACAAACAAGAAGGAGAACGUUAAUUCAGA